RNAcentral lists this ribosomal RNA (460 nucleotides) under uncultured bacterium. RNAcentral's name for it is "partial 16S ribosomal RNA". It matches the Rfam family "Bacterial small subunit ribosomal RNA", at positions 338 to 795 of the family's 1533-position model. The record is from RNAcentral.
CCUACGGGAGGCAGCAGUGAGGAAUAUUGGUCAAUGGGCGCGAGCCUGAACCAGCCAAGUAGCGUGAAGGAUGACUGCCCUACGGGUUGUAAACUUCUAUUAUAAAGGAAUAAAGUGAGGCACGUGUGCCUUUUUGUAUGUACUUUAUGAAUAAGGAUCGGCUAACUCCGUGCCAGCAGCCGCGGUAAUACGGAGGAUCCGAGCGUUUUCCGGAUUUAUUGGGUUUAAAGGGAGCGUAGAUGGGUUGAUAAGUCAGUUGUGAAAGUUUGCGGCUCAACCGGAAAAUUGCAAUAGAUACUGGUAGUCUUGAGUGCAGUAGAGGUAAGUGGAAUUCGAUGUGUAGCGGUGAAAUGCGUAGAUAUAAGGAAGAACACCGAUGGCGAAGGCAGCUCUCUAAACUGCAACUGACGUUGAGGCUCGAAAGUAUGGGUAGCGAACAGGAUUAGAUACCCGAGUAGUC